UGUAGGGUUAAUUGUACAAGGUAAAAUUUUCUCAUUCAAGAUCACGCUUUAUCACCUCACCGUCCCUCCUCAUUCUCCGCCAAGUCAGAAGUCGCCUCCGGCCGCGGUGGAGGUCGUAACAUCACUUGAAUUACAUCAAUAGAACCAGUUCUUCACCCUCAAACCAAAUAAGUCAUUUUCCAAAUAUUAAAUGCAAAGGAGAGGGAAUUGGAGCCAAUGUGAUUAAGGCUUUAAUUCCAAAAGCUAGGAACUACAUUACGCAAUGAAAUGCAAAGUUAAUGCUGAAAUCGACGAACCUGUGCACGAAAUCUCUGAUGGAGCUAAUAGAAAGAAAAUACCAGAGGCAACACAACAGGGCUGACUUACACUUCAAGGUUUGAUCAUGACUCAAGACACCUAAGAUGAAACCACCAUGAAAGUUAAGAUGAUGACUUUGAAAAGAAAGCAUGGCUUACUUGCCCAUGAAGUAAACUUGAACUUUGAGCCAAAAUAGAAGAUGGAACAAAGAAUAAUCAAAAUAAAAUAGGGUUAGGUUUUAGAAAUUAGGUGAGUUGUCUUUGGUCAAAGUUUACCAAAAAGUCAAUUAUUGACCAAAGUCAACCUUUAGUCAAAGUUAUGUUUUUUGUAAUUUUUUGUAUGGAUGAUGUAAAUGAUAUUGGAUGGAUGUAAUGAACCUUUGAGAAUGCCAAUAGUUCUUUGGAUUUAAUGAAAAUGUCUCAUUUUCAAAUUGUGAUUUUACCUCCAAAAAAAAUAUUUAAAACAUGGUUUUGAAUUA
Lathyrus oleraceus (garden pea) is the source of this 775-nucleotide long non-coding RNA. RefSeq lists it as uncharacterized. The transcript has 2 exons. The record is from RefSeq and is a predicted model, not a curated record. Lineage: Eukaryota; Viridiplantae; Streptophyta; Magnoliopsida; Fabales; Fabaceae.